This 429-nucleotide ribosomal RNA is filed under the name bacterium. Its description in RNAcentral is "partial 16S ribosomal RNA". It matches the Rfam family "Bacterial small subunit ribosomal RNA", at positions 355 to 776 of the family's 1533-position model. The record is from RNAcentral.
UAGGGAAUCUUCGGCAAUGGGGGCAACCCUGACCGAGCAACGCCGCGUGAGUGAAGAAGGUUUUCGGAUCGUAAAGCUCUGUUGUAAGAGAAGAACGUGUGUGAGAGUGGAAAGUUCACACAGUGACGGUAACUUACCAGAAAGGGACGGCUAACUACGUGCCAGCAGCCGCGGUAAUACGUAGGUCCCGAGCGUUGUCCGGAUUUAUUGGGCGUAAAGCGAGCGCAGGCGGUUUAAUAAGUCUGAAGUUAAAGGCAGUGGCUUAACCAUUGUUCGAUUUGGAAACUGUUAAACUUGAGUGAAGAAGGGGAGAGUGGAAUUCCAUGUGUAGAGGUGAAAUGCGUAGAUAUAUGGAGGAACACCGGUGGCGAAAGCGGCUCUCUGGUCUGUAACUGACGCUGAGGCUCGAAAGCGUGGGGAGCAAACAGG